This 443-nucleotide ribosomal RNA is filed under the name uncultured bacterium. Its description in RNAcentral is "partial 16S ribosomal RNA". It matches the Rfam family "Bacterial small subunit ribosomal RNA", at positions 338 to 795 of the family's 1533-position model. The record is from RNAcentral.
CCUACGGGUGGCAGCAGUGGGGAAUAUUGGGCAAUGGAGGAAACUCUGACCCAGCAACGCCGCGUGAAUGAUGAAGGUCUUCGGCUUGUAAAGUUCUUUUCUACGGGAAGAAGAAAGUGACGGUACCUUAGGAAUAAGCCUCGGCUAACUACGGGCCAACAGCCGCGGGAAUUCGUUGGAGGCGGGCGUUAGCCGGAAUGACUGGGCGUAAAGGGUGCGUAGGUGGUUCGGCAAGUUAGUAGCGAAACUCCAGGGCUCCACCUUGGCACUAGUACUAAAACUGGUGGACUUGAGUGCACGAGGGGCAAGCGGAAUGCCUAGUGUAGCGGUGGAAUGCGUAGAUAUUAGGAGGAACACCGGUGGCGAAGGCGGGAUACUGGCGUGUAACUGACGCUGAGGCACGAAAGCGUGGGGAGCGAACAGGAUUAGAUACCCGGGUAGUC